UAGGGAAUCUUCCGCAAUGGGCGAAAGCCUGACGGAGCAACGCCGCGUGAGUGAAGAAGGAUUUCGGUUCGUAAAGCUCUGUUGUUAGGGAAGAAUGAUUGUGUAGUAACUAUACACAGUAGAGACGGUACCUAACCAGAAAGCCACGGCUAACUACGUGCCAGCAGCCGCGGUAAUACGUAGGUGGCAAGCGUUGUCCGGAAUUAUUGGGCGUAAAGCGCGCGCAGGUGGUUUAAUAAGUCUGAUGCGAAAGCCCACGGCUCAACCGUGGAGGGUCAUUGGAAACUGUUAAACUUGAGUGCAGGAGAGAAAAGUGGAAUUCCUAGUGUAGCGGUGAAAUGCGUAGAGAUUAGGAGGAACACCAGUGGCGAAGGCGGCUUUUUGGCCUGUAACUGACACUGAGGCGCGAAAGCGUGGGGAGCGAACAGGAUUAGAUACCCUGGUAGUCCACGCCGUAAACGAUGAGUGCUAGGUGUUGGGUCCUUUCCGGGAUUCAGUGCCGCAGCUAACGCAUUAAGCACUCCGCCUGGGGAGUACGACCGCAAGGUUG
RNAcentral lists this ribosomal RNA (550 nucleotides) under uncultured bacterium. RNAcentral's name for it is "bacterial SSU rRNA". It matches the Rfam family "Bacterial small subunit ribosomal RNA", at positions 355 to 896 of the family's 1533-position model. The record is from RNAcentral.